Cervus elaphus (red deer) is the source of this 631-nucleotide long non-coding RNA. RefSeq lists it as uncharacterized. The transcript is spliced from 3 exons. Lineage: Eukaryota; Metazoa; Chordata; Mammalia; Artiodactyla; Cervidae. The record is from RefSeq and is a predicted model, not a curated record.
UUUUCUGCUUUUCUGCCUCCCGCGGGCACCACAAACUGCAAUCCGGAAGAAAGGAGGACCCACAAGCGCUUGUCUACCCUCGAGGACUCUGCGCCUGCCUAAACUGCCCUGGGGGGCCGCACCCCUCCUCUUCUCUCUGUGACCUGUUGCUGUCGCACGCCGCUUUGUCCACAUCCCCUAACAGUCACUUCCUAUGGGUCGGGCCACAGUCCUCGCCUCAAUCGCGCUGGCCGGCUCCACAAGUGACUCCCCCACCCCACUGACCGAACAUGGCGAGCAGGACGCGCAUGCGCACACCCCACCUCCACAGAGCACAGCGCGACCCCUUUGGAGGGCCUGGCCCUGAAUGGCAAAUGAAGGAUACAGAGAUCAGACUACAGCCCUGAACUCUCAGGGAUCAGGCCACAGCCAUUAUGGACUCCUUUUUCCUAUUCUAACUACCUAACAGGAAUAAAUGAGUUAACAACUACAUAAGGAAAAGAAAUAUAUACUUAAAACUGUACCUGGCCUUUAGGAAGAGCUAUAGGCUGGAAGAAGCACAAGCUAGAAUCAAGAUUGCCGGGAGAAAUAUCAAUAACCUCAGAUAUGCAGAUGACACCACCCUUAUGGCAGAAAGUGAAGAAGAACUAAA